GUGGGGAAUUUUGGACAAUGGGGGAAACCCUGAUCCAGCCAUGCCGCGUGUGCGAAGAAGGCCUUCGGGUUGUAAAGCACUUUCGGCCGGAACGAAAUCGCGCUGGUGAAUAUCCAGCGUGGAUGACGGUACCGGAAGAAGAAGCACCGGCUAACUACGUGCCAGCAGCCGCGGUAAUACGUAGGGUGCGAGCGUUAAUCGGAAUUACUGGGCGUAAAGGGUGCGCAGGCGGUUUCGCAAGUCAGGCGUGAAAUCCCCGGGCUUAACCUGGGAAUGGCACUUGAAACUACGAGACUAGAGUGUGGCAGAGGGAGGUGGAAUUCCACGUGUAGCGGUGAAAUGCGUAGAUAUGUGGAGGAACACCAAUGGCGAAGGCAGCCUCCUGGGUCAACACUGACGCUCAUGCACGAAAGCGUGGGGAGCAAACAGGAUUAGAAACCCCGGUAGUCC
RNAcentral lists this ribosomal RNA (450 nucleotides) under uncultured bacterium. RNAcentral describes it as "bacterial SSU rRNA". It matches the Rfam family "Bacterial small subunit ribosomal RNA", at positions 354 to 796 of the family's 1533-position model. The record is from RNAcentral.